GAUGAAGAACGUAGCGAAAUGCGAUAAGUAAUGUGAAUUGCAGAAUUCAGUGAAUCAUCGAAUCUUUGAACGCACAUUGCGCCCCUUGGUAUUCCGAGGGGCAUGCCUGUUCGAGCGUCAUUAUAACCCUCAAGCUCAGCUUGGUGUUGGGGCCUGCUGCACUGGCAGCCCUUAAAAUCAGUGGCGGCGCCAUCUGGCUCUAAGCGUAGUAAUUCUUCUCGCUAUGGAGUCCUGGUGGAUGCUUGCCAUCAACCCCCAAUUUUUCUAUGGUUGACCUCGGAUCAGGUAGGGAUACCCGCUGAACUUAAGAAUAUCAAUAAGCGGAGGA
This 328-nucleotide unclassified non-coding RNA is filed under the name soil metagenome. Its description in RNAcentral is "partial contains 5.8S ribosomal RNA, internal transcribed spacer 2, and large subunit ribosomal RNA". The stretch from base 1 to 120 matches the Rfam family "5.8S ribosomal RNA", at positions 35 to 154 of the family's 154-position model. The record is from RNAcentral.